RNAcentral lists this ribosomal RNA (446 nucleotides) under uncultured bacterium. Its description in RNAcentral is "bacterial SSU rRNA". It matches the Rfam family "Bacterial small subunit ribosomal RNA", at positions 217 to 662 of the family's 1533-position model. The record is from RNAcentral.
GGUAUGGGAUGAGCUUGCGUCCGAUUAGCUAGUUGGCGGGGCAACGGCCCACCAAGGCGACGAUCGGUAGCCGGCCUGAGAGGGUGAUCGGCCACAUUGGGACUGAGAUACGGCCCAGACUCCUACGGGAGGCAGCAGUAGGGAAUAUUGCACAAUGGGGGAAACCCUGAUGCAGCAACGCCACGUGUGGGAAGAAGCAUUUCGGUGUGUAAACCACUGUCAUGAGGGAAUAAGGCCCGUUUUCGGACGGGAUUGAAUGUACCUUGAGAGGAAGCACCGGCAAACUUCGUGCCAGCAGCCGCGGUAAUACGAGGGGUGCAAGCGUUGUUCGGAAUUACUGGGCGUAAAGGGAGCGUAGGCGGAGAUUCAAGCGGAUUGUACAAUCCCGGGGCCCAACCCCGGCUCUGCAGUCCGAACUGGAUUUCUUGGAUAGUUCAGGGGCAGGC